CUGGAUCACUUGCAUCGUGUUCCCGUUAAGUGGGGCGUUUACUCAAGGGUGAAGGUGUGGAACAGUGGAGAGGUGAAGGCAGCUCUUCUUGAAGAUAAAGUGUCGACCAACGAGUAUGGCAAGCUUUUGGUAAGACAUAAACAGUAAUUGUAUUGAUUUGCGGGGCGAUAAUUGCGUAUGUAACAGUUUUUUCAAUUGAUAGGCCGUCGAUGUUGCGUAUGGGGAGGAGCAUCCCCUAGUACUAAGGGAGUUGCUGGUGGUGUUAACAAGAAGGCACAACUAUCAGGGGAUAGGGAUCAGGCUUCGGUGGAUGAUGUCGUGGAGCAAGUGAGUGUGGGCAAACUUUAAGUUUGAAAUAUCAAUUGAAAGAUCUAUGGUUUUAUUUUUGGGUUAUGAUUUUGGCUAAGUGUGGAUAGAUGCUUUGUGCGGGUAUUAGCUCAGUUGAGCACAAGGCUGGUCAGUGUUGUUGAGAGUGUUGUUGCUCGUGCCAUGAGUAGAGGAUAUGAUGCAAACAUGACAAGGACCAACCUGAACCAAAUUGAGGGAGAUGUAUACGCUGAGAAAGGCAGCCACCCGUGGACCGACACGACAAUAGAAAGUAAUGGUCCUCCAAUAAAAAAAAUAUGUGGGUGAAGUAAGGAAGGAUGGCAAAGACUGUUCAUCAUUUAAAGGGUUAACGGAGGGAGUUGAUUUCUUGGAUUUUGCAUAAAAUAACAACAAGCAUGAUCCGACGGAUAAGCUGCUGAUGACCUUUAUUCGAGGCUGGAAGGAAUUGAAAGAUGAAAACAUUUUCGGGGCAUCGUUAAUUGAAUGUGGGGGCAUGGAUGCGACUCAGAGGGAUUGCUAUCGGGUUGUCGGUCUAAGAGCCCGGGUUGUGAUCAAUACAUGCGGAUGACAACCACGUUGUACAACAAAACCUGGGACCAUCAUGAGUUUUUUUGGCAGAGAGAAGAACAUUAUGUUAGACCCUACAUAUGCGUUGAUGCUUAAUUUGGGGAAGAAAGACUACGAGGAUUUGGCGCGGAAGUACGACAAAGCCUUCCUCAGUAUCCCACUGACCUAAAUAA
Molecule: long non-coding RNA, 1067 nt
Organism: Chenopodium quinoa (quinoa)
Lineage: Eukaryota; Viridiplantae; Streptophyta; Magnoliopsida; Caryophyllales; Amaranthaceae
Exons: 3
Source: RefSeq, a predicted model, not a curated record